GUCUUUUUUCCCCCACACUACAUUGCCUUCCAGGACAAUAUAGCAGGAGAGGUGGAUAACAAGAAAAUACAAUGCAAUGUGAUGAGUGCUAUAACCAAGAUAAGUCUUACUGGAAUUAACUCUCCCUGAAGGAGCUUUGGAAGUCUCAAGAAAGAGGCAAUGGGGAGUCACUGGAAUGCUUGAACAACGUUACUUUAAGAUGAUUUUGACAAUGCGUGGAGACUAGAUCAAAGGAAAGAGAUGCUGGGCCAUACUUCCUAGACUCCCUUGCUGUUAGAUGCAGUGAUAUGACCAGAUUCUAGCCAAUAAAAACUGGAAAGACAUGAGAGAUGCUGUUGCCAGGCCUGACUGUGAAAACUUACUGCACAGUCCUCCACUCUUAUUUUCCUCUGUGCCAGCUGGAUGUCAGUGUCCAAAGUGUCCUUGGAAGCCACAUGUUGAAGACACCAAAGCUUCUGAAAGCCUGAACGGCUGCAUGGUGUGGAUUCUUCUCUCCCCAGCCCCAUCUCCCCAACACUGCUGCUGUUAGACUUAACAAAAGCUAGAAAUAAACUUCUACUGAGUUAAUACUCUGAGAUUUCAGGUUUUAUCUUUUAGCCACAGAGAUUCCAGAGUUUAUCUGCUAACUAAAAGACGAAUGCUGCAACUCAGCUGAUAAUGGACUCUAUCCCACUUGCGAUACAAAUCUGGGUUUCUAGCCAACAGCAGCUCUUAAAUUCCAUUUAUUUGGAGACUAUAAAAUUGAUUCACACACCAAACACCUGUUUAGCUUCCUACAUAGGGAAUCUAUGUCCACAAGUGACUCAUACUACAGAGUUUCAACAUGCAGUCUCUUCUCAGGCUGAGUUUUAGACUGAGGCCAGUGUUCAUGGGGACCCACCUUGGGCGUAGAAAGCCAUGGAGGCCUGAACAGCUAACCAGAUGGUUAGAAACAUCACUCUGACUAAACCUUACAUACUGUGCCCUCACACAUAUGUCUUCUCAUUCUACUGGGGAUGAGGGCCACCAAGGGCCCUCAUAGCCACAUAGGAAAGUUACCCAGCAUAAGAAAAUGACAGAACCAGGACUGAAGGCUG
This 1076-nucleotide long non-coding RNA is filed under the name Homo sapiens (human). RNAcentral's name for it is "HSALNT0028153". The record is from RNAcentral. Lineage: Eukaryota; Metazoa; Chordata; Mammalia; Primates; Hominidae.